UACUAGGGGAGGCAGCAGUGGGGAAUCUUCCGCAGUGGACGAAAGUCUGACGGAACAACGCCGCGUGAGUGAUGAAGGUUUUCAGAUCGAAAAACUCUGUUGUUGGGGAAGAACAAGCACUAAAGUAACUGUUAGUACCUUGACGGCACCUAACCAGAAAGCCCCGGAUAACUACGUGCCAGCAGCCGCGAUAAUACGUAGGGGGCAAGCGUUCUCCGGAAUUAUUGGGCAUAAAGCGCGCGUAGGCGCUCCUUUAACUCUGAUGUGAAAGCCCACGGCUUAACCGUGGAGGGUCAUUGAAAACUGGAGGACUUGAGUGCAGAAGAAGAGAGUGGAACUCCACGUGUAGCGGAGAAAUGCGUAGAGAUGUGGAAGAACACCAGUGGCAGAGGCAACUCUCUGGUCUGUAACUGACGCUGAGGUGCAAAAGCGUGGGUAGCAAACAGGAUUAAAUACCCUGGUAGCCCACCCCGAAAACAAAAAGUGCUAGGUGUUAGGGGGUUUCCCCCCCUU
This 513-nucleotide ribosomal RNA is filed under the name bacterium A6M_VP6_B12. RNAcentral's name for it is "bacterial SSU rRNA". It matches the Rfam family "Bacterial small subunit ribosomal RNA", at positions 337 to 842 of the family's 1533-position model. The record is from RNAcentral.